RNAcentral lists this transfer RNA (62 nucleotides) under Pseudoniphargus sp. 6-Morocco A. Its description in RNAcentral is "tRNA-Asn". The record is from RNAcentral. Lineage: Eukaryota; Metazoa; Arthropoda; Malacostraca; Amphipoda; Allocrangonyctidae.
UUAGCUGAAACCAAAUUAGAGGUAAAUCACUGUUAAUGAUUUAAUUGAGAAAUCCUGCUGUU